GAUGAACGCUGGCGGCGUGCCUAAUACAUGCAAGUCGAGCGAACAGACGAGGAGCUUGCUCCUCUGACGUUAGCGGCGGACGGGUGAGUAACACGUGGAUAACCUACCUAUAAGACUGGGAUAACUUCGGGAAACCGGAGCUAAUACCGGAUAAUAUAUUGAACCGCAUGGUUCAAUAGUGAAAGACGGUUUUGCUGUCACUUAUAGAUGGAUCCGCGCCGCAUUAGCUAGUUGGUAAGGUAACGGCUUACCAAGGCAACGAUGCGUAGCCGACCUGAGAGGGUGAUCGGACACACUGGAACUGAGACACGGUCCAGACUCCUACGGGAGGCAGCAGUAGGGAAUCUUCCGCAAAGGGCGAAAGCUUGACGGAGCAACGCCGCGUGAGUGAUGAAGGUCUUCGGAUCGUAAAACUCUGUUAUUAGGGAAGAACAAAUGUGUAAGUAACUAUGCACGUCUUGACGGUACCUAAUCAGAAAGCCACGGCUAACUACGUG
RNAcentral lists this ribosomal RNA (497 nucleotides) under uncultured bacterium. Its description in RNAcentral is "partial 16S ribosomal RNA". It matches the Rfam family "Bacterial small subunit ribosomal RNA", at positions 28 to 507 of the family's 1533-position model. The record is from RNAcentral.